RNAcentral lists this ribosomal RNA (468 nucleotides) under uncultured bacterium. Its description in RNAcentral is "partial 16S ribosomal RNA". It matches the Rfam family "Bacterial small subunit ribosomal RNA", at positions 28 to 507 of the family's 1533-position model. The record is from RNAcentral.
GACGAACGCUGGCGGCGUGCUUAACACAUGCAAGUCGAACGGAAAGGCCCUGCUUUUGUGGGGUGCUCGAGUGGCGAACGGGUGAGUAACACGUGAGUAACCUGCCCUUGACUUUGGGAUAACUUCAGGAAACUGGGGCUAAUACCGGAUAGGAGCUCCUGCUGCAUGGUGGGGGUUGGAAAGUUUCGGCGGUUGGGGAUGGACUCGCGGCUUAUCAGCUUGUUGGUGGGGUAGGGGCUUACCAAGGCUUUGAAGGGUAGCCGGCCUGAGAGGGUGACCGGCCACAUUGGGACUGAGAUACGGCCCAGACUCCUACGGGAGGCAGCAGUGGGGAAUAUUGCACAAUGGGCGGAAGCCUGAUGCAGCAACGCCGCGUGCGGGAUGACGGCCUUCGGGUUGUAAACCGCUUUCGCCUGUGACGAAGCGUGAGUGACGGUAAUGGGUAAAGAAGCACCGGCUAACUACGUG